RNAcentral lists this ribosomal RNA (1240 nucleotides) under marine metagenome. RNAcentral's name for it is "bacterial SSU rRNA". It matches the Rfam family "Bacterial small subunit ribosomal RNA", at positions 250 to 1520 of the family's 1533-position model. The record is from RNAcentral.
UGGUGGGGUAUAGCCUACCAAGACUUUGAUCAAUAGCUGAUUUGAGAGGAUGAUCAGCCACAUUGGGACUGAGACACGGCCCAAACUCCUACGGGAGGCAGCAGUGGGGAAUCUUGCACAAUGGAGGAAACUCUGAUGCAGCGAUGCCGCGUGAGUGAAGAAGGCCUUUGGGUUGUAAAGCUCUUUCGUCGGGGAAGAAAAUGACUGUACCCGAAUAAGAAGGUCCGGCUAACUUCGUGCCAGCAGCCGCGGUAAUACGAAGGGACCUAGCGUAGUUCGGAAUUACUGGGCUUAAAGAGUUCGUAGGUGGUUGAAAAAGUUGGUGGUGAAAUCCCAGAGCUUAACUCUGGAACUGCCAUCAAAACUUUUCAGCUAGAGUUUGAUAGAGGAAAGCAGAAUUUCUAGUGUAGAGGUGAAAUUCGUAGAUAUUAGAAAGAAUACCAAUUGCGAAGGCAGCUUUCUGGAUCAUUACUGACACUGAGGAACGAAAGCAUGGGUAGCGAAGAGGAUUAGAUACCCUCGUAGUCCAUGCCGUAAACGAUGUGUGUUAGACGUUGGAAAUUUAUUUUCAGUGUCGCAGCGAAAGCGAUAAACACACCGCCUGGGGAGUACGACCGCAAGGUUAAAACUCAAAUGAAUUGACGGGGACCCGCACAAGUAGUGGAGCAUGUGGUUUAAUUCGAAGAUACGCGCAGAACCUUACCAACACUUGACAUGUUCGUCGCGACUUUAAGAGAUUAAAGUUUUCGGUUCGGCCGGACGAAACACAGGUGCUGCAUGGCUGUCGUCAGCUCGUGUCGUGAGAUGUUGGGUUAAGUCCCGCAACGAGCGCAACCCUCACUUUUAGUUGCCAUCAUUUAGUUGGGCACUCUGAAAGAACUGCCAGUGAUAAGCUGGAGGAAGGUGGGGAUGACGUCAAGUCCUCAUGGCCCUUACGUGUUGGGCUACACACGUGCUACAAUGGUAUUUACAACAGGAAGCAAGACGGCGACGUUUAGCAAAUCCUCAAAAAAUACCUCAGUUCGGAUUGCACUCUGCAACUCGAGUGCAUGAAGCUGGAAUUACUAGUAAUCGUGGAUCAGCGUGCCACGGUGAAUGCGUUCCCGGGUCUUGUACACACCGCCCGUCACACCAUGGGAGUUGGUUCUACCUUAAGGCAAGGUUUCAAACCCUUGACCACGGUAUAGUCAGCGACUGGGGUGAAGUCGUAACAAGGUAGCCGUAGGGGAACCUGCGGCUG